Manis javanica (Malayan pangolin) is the source of this 2000-nucleotide non-coding RNA. The record is from RefSeq and is a predicted model, not a curated record. NCBI's taxonomy places the organism in Eukaryota, Metazoa, Chordata, Mammalia, Pholidota, Manidae.
UUCAGGACUGCAGGCACCAUCACCUCAGUCCCCAGGGGCCAGGAAUGAAGGAAGGAGAGCCCUUCCGUCUUCUGAACUCUUUGUGGCCCCCGCAUGUUCUGUGCCAUCUCAGCAGAGAAGGCAGGCCUCAGAGGAUAUCAGUUCCCCAAAGACAAUGAAGUAAGAAAUGGACCAGAGGUGCCAGGCAUACAGACAGGCUCCAUGCAGACAAGUGGUGCUCAUCUGAGCCCCCGCCCCCAGAGCCUGGCCUGACAAGCAAAGCACGCCCUGAGGGGAAGCUGCUCCAGCCUCCAUAUCCUUGACCAUCUGCACAAAGUAUAAGAAAGGGAGCGACAUCAAAGGAAAGGGCAGCUGCUGACUCUGCCAGUGCUCGUCUCCCUGCUAGGUGUGAUCACAUGCAGACCAGGUUUAUCUCAGUGAGAGACGGAAAAAGUGAAGCAUCACCAGCUGGACUCAGCCAGUGGGACCAGCAGCCACAGAGGAACAAAGGCCUCGAGGAAAUCAGGGCCUCCCUGCAAUGUGGACAGUCACUGGAGCAAGAGACCAACAGACAUCAGAUUCAGAGAUAAAACAGCCCAGCGCAGGAGCCGGGGUGGGAUGGUACGGCACAGCAGCUGAUGCAGAGCAUAUCAGGGUGAAGGAGCCCUGCCGGGGGAACUGUGGGGCUCACAUUUGACCGGGCUUCUCCUGGGGGCCAGGACACACGGAGGAGAAUGCACUAUGCAGCCAGGGAGAGAGGGUGAACGAUUGCAUUCUCUUGGACUCCAGGGGUUGGUCCCACUCACCCGUCUUUCCCUGGGAAUAGUACAUUCUCUACUUCUGUGUCUGAAGUGGAGCUCAGAGACUGGAGAAGGAGUCCUGUGUAUCCAUUACUGGUCACAGGUGUGUCUAACAACAGGUUUCCCUGCCAGUGGCAUCAAUGCCCAAAAUCUGCCCAUUCAUGGUGCCCAGUAACCAUCAGGUUGAGCAGGAAAAGUGCCAGAGCUUUUCUCCCCUCGGGACACACUGCAAGGAAAUGCUCCUCCACUCUUGGCCACUAGCCAAUAACCAGAAAGUGAGCCCCAAUCUCAGACAAGAAUGUUCUAUGAGUAUCAGAGUCUUUUUACAUUUUGACGAUACAAAACACCAAGUCCUAUAAGUAUGAGUGGAGCGAACUGCACCUAAGCCAGUCCCACACAGGCAUCUGUGGUCAGUGACCCAUGUCAGUGAGGCAGAAACAUUGCCUACCAGCACAUGCUGAGGCCAGCUCGGCCUGCUCACUUGUUUAGAGGACAACUUGGUCAGAGAGCAAACCCCUGGGCUCUGCUGGUGCUGCUUCACUAGAAAUGUGUCACGGCUUCAAACCAAGAAGGACAUUUGAGCAAAACCAUCUGUGUCCUGGACAUGCUUGUCACAGCUGUGCAAAGCCUGAUCAAAGAAAGAAAGGUCCUUGCAUGGGCCUCAGCUUCCCUUCCCUUCUCCAAAGCCCCAUUUGUCCCCUUCCCCUUGCUUGCAAACUACCCCGUGGCCACAGGCCCUUCUUUCUUCUGUGAAUGUUCCCUGCUCUUCCCUUUUGUAAAUUGGCUGCUCCCUGGGGACACCACUUUCCGGCAUUCUUGCCCAGCUGCAGCUGCGCAGCACUCCCACCCACCCCCAGGGUCUCCGUCUCCUGCCUGCAGCCUGUGCAAACUCUCCGUGCCCUGGGCCCCUUGCCCAGCACCCACUUGCCUGCUCCUCUGCCUGCUCCUUGGAGCCCAGCCCUGCUCUGCACAGCAGCCGCUGAGAGGCACCGUGGCCCCUGGAAGUCCUCCUUGGCGCUGCACCUCCAAAACCAGGAGCCAAGCACCCCUUCCCUGCCCACUGCCUCUUCAUGAGGCACAGGCACACGACCCUCUCCUCCCAGCUGCUCUGCAGACGUGGCGGGCACGAAACCCCAGUGUCCACCGUUUCAGCAGUGCUGGGAGCAGUCGCCCAACCUCCUGGCUCUGAGUCUUUCUGAAUCACGUGUCUGAUAAAACUUU